Molecule: ribosomal RNA, 285 nt
Filed under: uncultured bacterium
Lineage: Bacteria
Description: partial 16S ribosomal RNA
Rfam family: Bacterial small subunit ribosomal RNA
Source: RNAcentral
GAUGAACGCUAGCGGCAGGCCUAAUACAUGCAAGCCGAACGGCAAGUUGAGUAGCAAUACUUGACCUAGAGUGGCGUAAGGGUGCGUAACACGUAUGCAAUCUACCCGCAACAGGAGGAUAGCUCCCCGAAAGGGGAAUUAACCCUCCAUGGGAUCUUUAGGUGGCAUCACUGGAAGAUUAAACCGCAAGGGGUUGUGGAUGAGCAUGCGCAUGAUUAGAGUUGGCGGGGUAACGGCCCACCAAGACGAUGAUCAUUAGGGGAACUGAGAGGUUGAUCCCCCACA